CCUACGGGAGGCAGCAGUGGGGAAUAUUGCGCAAUGGGCGAAAGCCUGACGCAGCGACGCCGCGUGAGGGAUGAAGGUCUUCGGAUUGUUAACCUCCGUCAGCAGGGAAGAACGGUCACUGUGCUAAUCAGCAGUGCAUUGACGGUACCUGAAAAGGAAGCCCCGGCUAACCCCGUGCCAGCAGCCGCGGUAAUACGGAGGGUGCGAGCGUUAAUCGGAAUUAGUGGGCGUAAAGCGCUCGUAGGCGGUAUGUCAAGUCAAGGGUGAAAUCCCCGCGCUCAACGUGGGAACUGCCUUUGAAACUGGCAAACUGGAGUGUGUGAGAGGAUAGUGGAAUUCCAGGUGUAGGAGUGAAAUGCGUAGAUAUCAGGAGGAACAUCAGUGGCGAAGGCGACUAUCUGGCACAUAACUGACGCUGAGGAGCGAAAGCGUGGGUAGCAAACAGGAUUAGAUACCCCAGUAGUC
This 465-nucleotide ribosomal RNA is filed under the name uncultured bacterium. RNAcentral's name for it is "partial 16S ribosomal RNA". It matches the Rfam family "Bacterial small subunit ribosomal RNA", at positions 338 to 795 of the family's 1533-position model. The record is from RNAcentral.